AUUCGUUUCUUUUUGUACAAGAUGUUAAGACCUUUAACAAAAGUGUUGAUUGUUUGUGUGGUUGUUUUGUGUCUUACGCAAACAGUAAAAUCGCUUCCAAAGCUUCCAAACUUAUUGUGGCCAUGGGUAACUAAUACACGAAAAGGUGUAACACCAACUGUUGUUGAAUCUGUUGAUUCAUCUGAUUCUUCGUUAGCAACUAUACCAGAUAGCCCGACAAUUGAAAAAAUUCCGCCUGUAGUUGGAAGUACAGCAUUAAAACCUAAAUCGAGCUCUUUUGUUGCUCGUUUUACUGGAUAUAUUUAUGAUGUCGCAAAAUUGAUCUUACUUUCUACAUCAUUCUUAGCAUUUUUGUUUUCUACAGUGUUAUACAUAUUUUAUUAAUCAACUAGUGUGAUUUGUGUAGUAUAGGUUGCAUACACAGCACUCAGAAUGGAAAAGUAGUUGAAUAAGUAAAAAUAAUGAAUUUAUUAUAUGGUAAUAAAUAAACAUUGAUUUUGUUGUUAAAACGUCAAAAAAUCUACACAAUGAACAAUGAAGUUAUACUCAAGUGCCAGAGGACAAAUGUUAAUAUUAUAAAAGUUGGGUUAGGUUACGACACGUCAAAACUCUGUUUUGGUAAUAUCCGAUAUUAAAUAUCUCCAAAACAACAAUAAAUCCAAAGAUUCCAUUUA
Long non-coding RNA from Dalotia coriaria, 674 nucleotides. RefSeq lists it as uncharacterized. Lineage: Eukaryota; Metazoa; Arthropoda; Insecta; Coleoptera; Staphylinidae. The transcript is spliced from 2 exons. The record is from RefSeq and is a predicted model, not a curated record.